Molecule: long non-coding RNA, 574 nt
Filed under: Vombatus ursinus (common wombat)
Lineage: Eukaryota; Metazoa; Chordata; Mammalia; Diprotodontia; Vombatidae
Description: lncRNA (ENSVURG00010013514.1)
Source: RNAcentral
AGCUGGUUAGCUGUGUGUUCACCAGCUCCGAAUGGAAAACUGGGCAGCGGCCACCUCCUCUCGUGGGGCCCGGGUGUUGGGGAGAGGGCGUGAUGAGCACUAGGACCCAGCAGGAGUUUGGGUAGUUCUCGGGGUUUCAGCAGUCCCUCUGACACCACCAUAGCCCCGGGAGCAUGGAGCCUGGGCUACGGCCGAGAUCCGCUCGCAGGCAGCGUUCUGAAUAUUGAGCCGAACCAGAAUGAAAGGAUUAAGCGGGAGACUCUAACCCAACUGGAACGUCAGCCUGGGCCGAGGGGAGCCCCAGCAGGGGGGACAGAAGAUAAAAGGUACUGGGGCGGUCAGCUGUUAUUGGAUCCAGGUGUUUCCCAUAGCCCGGUAUUGUGCAGUGUGAAAAGAGACUGUUCUGUGCCCCGCAAGUUCCCCACAUGGAAAAAAAUGAAGAUCCAUCAAUGUUACCAGUAAGCCCUGAUGAUUUUUCAACAUGUCUGCUGAAUUCCGGUGAAGUUCAUUCACUUUGGUGCCUGCCCACAAGAAGGGAGCCAAUAAAACAGAGAAGGAGCCAGCUGUGCCUGCA